AUUUUUAUUUUUGUUUUAUUGUCUCCAAAGCUAAAUGGAUUUUUAUUGUUUUUUUUUUAAAGGUAAUGAGUCAUGAAUGAUGAAUCUGCUGCCUGCUAAAUGCGUCCUUCAGUCAGAUGCUCUUAAAGAGACCCGUCGACUGCUCGUGCUUCGGAGUCUACGCGGAGUUAGCUGUUUGCCAAAAUUCACGUGGAUACGCAAGCAAUUUAUGAUUUGAAAGCUGGGUCGACUCCGAUUCUUUAUUUUUCUCAGAGGUUUUUAUGUCAUUUAAACUAGUCAACUGUUUUACUUCUUAGACUGCAGUAAAACUAGUUUAUUGUUUGGAUAUUAUACUUUGGAUUGUCGUGUUAGCACGACUGAUUUAUUAUAAUUUGAGCAUGUUCUUUAUGGAUUAUUA
Long non-coding RNA from Mercurialis annua (annual mercury), 397 nucleotides. RefSeq lists it as uncharacterized. NCBI's taxonomy places the organism in Eukaryota, Viridiplantae, Streptophyta, Magnoliopsida, Malpighiales, Euphorbiaceae. The transcript has 3 exons. The record is from RefSeq and is a predicted model, not a curated record.